Molecule: ribosomal RNA, 484 nt
Filed under: uncultured bacterium
Lineage: Bacteria
Description: partial 16S ribosomal RNA
Rfam family: Bacterial small subunit ribosomal RNA
Source: RNAcentral
AUUGAACGCUGGCGGCAGGCCUAACACAUGCAAGUCGAGCGGAUGAAGGGAGCUUGCUCCUGGAUUCAGCGGCGGACGGGUGAGUGAUGCCUAGGAAUCUGCCUGGUAGUGGGGGAUAACGUCCGGAAACGGGCGCUAAUACCGCAUACGUCCUGAGGGAGAAAGUGGGGGAUCUUCGGACCUCACGCUAUCAGAUGAGCCUAGGUCGGAUUAGCUAGUUGGUGGGGUAAAGGCCUACCAAGGCGACGAUCCGUAACUGGUCUGAGAGGAUGAUCAGUCACACUGGAACUGAGACACGGUCCAGACUCCUACGGGAGGCAGCAGUGGGGAAUAUUGGACAAUGGGCGAAAGCCUGAUCCAGCCAUGCCGCGUGUGUGAAGAAGGUCCUCGGAUUGUAAAGCACUUUAAGUUGGGAGGAAGGGCAGUAAGUUAAUACCUUGCUGUUUUGACGUUACCAACAGAAUAAGCACCGGCUAACUUCGUG